Molecule: ribosomal RNA, 406 nt
Filed under: uncultured bacterium
Lineage: Bacteria
Description: partial 16S ribosomal RNA
Rfam family: Bacterial small subunit ribosomal RNA
Source: RNAcentral
AAUAUUGCGCAAUGGACGGAAGUCUGACGCAGCGACGCCGCGUGAACGAUGACGGCCUUCUGGUCNUAAAGCUCUGUCCUUGGGGGNUAAUGUCUUCGGACUUGACGGUACCCCAGUAGAAAGCCCCGGCUAACUACGUGCCAUCAACCGCGGUAAUACGUAGGGGGCGAGCGUUGUCCGGAAUUACUGGGCGUCAAGGGUGCGUAGGCGGCCCUUUAAGUCAGAUGUGAAAGACCACGGCUUAGCCGUGGGAUUGCAUUUGAAACUGGAGGGCUUGAGUGUCGGAGAGGGUAGUGGAAUUCCCAGUGUAGCGGUGAAAUGCGUAGAUAUUGGGAGGAACACCAGUGGCGAAGGCGGCUUCCUGGACUGCACCUGACGCUGAGGCGCGAAAGCUAGGAGAGCGAAC